GGAUCUUUAUUAUAUUUUAGUAUAGCCGAUUGCAGAUUGGCAGGAUUAGGGUCUU
RNAcentral lists this transfer RNA (55 nucleotides) under Contracaecum ogmorhini sensu lato South Africa. RNAcentral's name for it is "tRNA-Cys". Lineage: Eukaryota; Metazoa; Nematoda; Chromadorea; Rhabditida; Anisakidae. The record is from RNAcentral. RNAcentral also lists the same sequence under 1 other name.